RNAcentral lists this long non-coding RNA (789 nucleotides) under Gallus gallus (chicken). RNAcentral's name for it is "long non-coding RNA NONGGAT002986". The record is from RNAcentral. Lineage: Eukaryota; Metazoa; Chordata; Aves; Galliformes; Phasianidae.
CCGACAGCUACCGAGGAAAAACAGCGAACGAAAGAGAGAGGAGGAGGAGGAGGAAGAGGAGGAGAAAUAGGGAGAGGGAGAAAAAGAAGGAGCAUCACUUAAAGAAGAGCGAGAAGUUGCUGCAGGACUGGCCCUGCAGACAGCCAGGCCUCGGCAAAAGACAGCAGCGAGGAUGACAAACGGGGGGCGGGGAGGAGAAGCUCCAUGUCACUCUGCAAAACCAAAACCAAAACCAAAAGAAUACCAAAAAACACCCCAUCGGGAUGCGGCGCGGGGACGGCUCUCCAAUAGCCCGAGGAAGACCUCGCACUUUGCAUCGCUUUCCUUGCUCUGCUUUGGGGCAGCCGAACGCACCCCGCACAGGGAAAUCCACACAAAUGCAUAUAGGUGGGUGUGCACAGAUGAGUGUGAAAGCACGUGCGGCUUGCAAAAACACGCGUGCACGCGAUGCCUUGUGCAAAUGAUGUGGGUGUGCACUGCGCGUGGAGCGCGUCUGAGCGCAGAAUUAUAGAGAUGGGUGAAUAUUCCCGAGUCCUUCUGUCUGUACAGACGGCACAUCACAAAAACCCCCACUUCGUGAGUGUGCAAAUAGCGAGAUGGUCGUGCACACUCGCACAGCAGCACUCGGGCCCCGUCCGUUACACACACCCGUGACUAUUUACAUCCUCCUCCAUGCUUUACGCCCACAUUUUGGGUGCGUGCAGGCAUAAAUCCGCCCCCACCUUCAGCACAGCGUUAGUGCCGAUCUCUCCCCCGGGUGCGUGCAAACUCGUGCACACCCAAAGGCAC